ACUCUAAUAGUUUAUUAAAAACAUUGGUCUUGUAAACCAAAAAUUGAAGACUCACCUCUUCUUAGAGUUA
Molecule: transfer RNA, 70 nt
Filed under: Porphyrio mantelli (North Island takahe)
Lineage: Eukaryota; Metazoa; Chordata; Aves; Gruiformes; Rallidae
Also listed under: 1 other name
Description: tRNA-Thr
Rfam family: tRNA
About the family: Transfer RNA (tRNA) molecules are approximately 80 nucleotides in length. Their secondary structure includes four short double-helical elements and three loops (D, anti-codon, and T loops).
Source: RNAcentral